This is a non-coding RNA of Camellia sinensis, 4209 nucleotides long. NCBI's taxonomy places the organism in Eukaryota, Viridiplantae, Streptophyta, Magnoliopsida, Ericales, Theaceae. The record is from RefSeq and is a predicted model, not a curated record.
CCCGAACUCAUAAACCCCAACUCAAUCUUUUCGACCCCCAUUCGAAAGCAGAGCUCCCUGUACCCCAAAAAAAAAUAGCAGAGCUCGCUAGCGGCGGAGGACGACGACGGCGUCGUCUGCGGCGGCGGCGGCGGUGUAGGUAACGACGAGGGCAAAAACAUUACCACAAAUUGAAAAAAUGCCGCGAAAGCCGAAAAGGCAGUGCCAAUUAACAAAACCUCAUCCUUUCACGUUCUCCCCAUUUGCUCGUGCAGUUGCUCGAGUAGCCAAUGCUUAUAAGGUCAAGAGCCAGAUCCAGAACUCCAAGUUUCAUAGAAAAUCUUCCCCCAACUCUUCAGGUGACAAACUUGGAUAUCACUCUCUCGCAGAUAAGAGUGAACCGUCUGAAUCUUCUAAUGAAGAAGACUUUGAAGGAAUUGUUCAGGCAGAUUUUGCUUUCUUCGAUCCAAAACCUGAUGACUUCCAUGGAGUGAAGGUCCUGCUGCAGACAUAUCUUGAUGAUAAGCAAUGGGAUCUAAGUGGUUUUGUGGACCUAAUAUUGGGGCAAACCACGGUAGGGACAAUUGUUAAAAUCGAGGAAGAUGAAGAUGAUACACCUUACUCUGUUGUUACUGCUCUUAACUUGAGAAGAUAUAAGGAUCAUAUAUGCAUUAAGGAACUCAAAGAGUUCUUGCUUCAAGUAUGCAAGGAGAAGGAUUUACUAGACAACUUGAAAUUAGUUUUUGGAGAGCAAGCGCAAACUGUAGGGCUCUUGGUCUCUCAGCGUGUUGUUAAUCUUCCUCCCCAGCUUUUGCCACCUCUUUAUGACGCACUCUUUGAUGAAGUCUCAUGGGCUACAGAAGAUGAGCCGACAGAGGAGCUCAGGAAGUCAUUUUGCUUUAAGCAUUAUCUAUUGGUCACUAGAAUCUAUGAGCAUAAGAAUGCUGGACAGAAAGAAGCAGCAAAUAAUAGCAGUGAGGAGGCUAUAGUAUAUGUUAAGUCGGAAGAUGAAAUUUUUUAUCAGCUCAGUUCAUGGUCCUUUAGGUUCCCAUUGCGCACUCAGCAGCUUGCAUCUCAUGAGGAAUGCAUCAUCAUCAGCAAUCCAUCAACGGAAGUUGUCGUUCUCACCAUCGGCAGAAAGCGAGAUCAUCUUCACUGGCAGCAUGGACCAUAUUAAACCUAGUCAUUGUUGACAACUGCAGCCAGCCCGUACAUCAAUCAACGUUGUCAUCGACAAAAAGCUUGGCCUUGUGUCUUAGGUCUUCAUCGUUUCUCGCUGGAGCAUGCUCGACCGUCUUGCCUUAGCCUCAUCAAUGAGAGCACAAACUGUUGUGCAAAACUUUUGGGGAAGAUGACCAAUAGAGUUAAUAGAACCCUUAGACUUGACCCAAUCCAGUAGCCCUUAACUUAAGCUCAAUUCUUUAACCUCUAGGCCAUAACCCAAUUACUCUUAUACCCAGCCCAUUAUCCUCACCAGGCACAUAAACAUGUAAAUAAGCCCAAACUGAACCCAGCUCACUCCUUUUCCCUAACCCAUAAAUUAGGCCAUUAACAAGCCCAACCCUUUAAUUCUAUUUCCAUUGUCCAAGCCCAUUAAACCCAACAAUGUCAACCCAGCCCAAGCACUUCCUACCCAAGUUCAACCAAAUUUUUACAACCCAAGUGUUAGCUACCGGCUUCUUAGCCAACCCAAUUCCAGCACUUAUUUAACCCACAACCGUUAGACCAGCCCACAACAGCUCAUUAAACCUCAUACCAACAAUACUUGAUCCAUAUUGGAUGAAGAUUAGGAAACCAAAUCAAACCAAAUCUUAAGUCCCAUCAAAUGUGGUCGGCUAUAUAAAUCAUUUUUCUCCAGUCGACUCUAUUGAAGGCCAUUUCGUUAGUCAAAUUAUUCAUAUCUCUAUUUACUACACUAGUCUACGUCAAUUUAGGUCCAUCCUUUUCCCUAACACUACCAUUUACCGUCACUGUAUCGCAUCUGUUCACUAUUGCCUAUGUUGGUCUCCGGUGUAUAUAACCAAACAUCUCAAUCUAUUCUUACUCAAUUUAUCCUCUAUCAAUAUUACUCCUACCCAUUUUCGAAUAUACUCAUUCCUAUUGUAUGAAGAUUAGGAAAUUAAAACAAAAAUAAAUGUAGUAAAAAACAAAAAAAUGACAACCAAAGAAAUUAAGUAAAUCCUGAAGCCUCAAUACUCAAUAUCUCAAUUUCAUAAGCCAAGCUGAAUAACCCUAAUAAAUAACUACGUAUAGGAUUCUGAAAAACCCUAAUUAAGAGUUUCCAAAAUGAAAACUACCUUAAAUACUAAAUAAAACAGUAAAAUCUGUUAAAUUAUAAAUAUGAAAAUGACAAUAAGAUAAUUUCCUAACCUUCAAUCAAUUCCUUUUGUGUCCGUAUCAUUUCUCCUUAGAUGAAAAAAAAGAAAAAAAAAACUACUCUCAUCUGUUGAGUUACAAGAGUUGAAGACAUCCAAGGAAUGAAACUCAUCAUGAGAACAAUACUUCGACCCUUAAUGCCAUCCACUAUAAGGUAUCCACCACAGGGAUGACAAGAAGUAAUUAUGGAAGCUGGCUGUAGAAAGCAUCAACUCCUGGAGAGUCCUCAAACAAAACAUGAGGAUGUAAGGUGCUGUGAUAAAGUAGUACCUUAUUCUCCAUAUGAAAUACCAAAUUAACAAAAUUAAUGGACUGAGGAGGGAAAUACCAAACUAACUGAAUUAGAGGUGUCAAGUCAUGCUAUUAUCGAGUAGGGGUGGCUAGGGAGAGAUUGAGGUCUUGAGUAGAACUCAACUCUAAAAGAUAGCUUCUGAAGUGAGGUUGUCCUCAUGCUGAUACAAUGUACAUCCCCUUUGUACCUACUACCUAGACAAUGUGGAACUCUUCAUAGAGAUACCUUGGCUUGACCUAGUGGUAUUCUUUGGGGUGGAGGGGGCACUUUGCGUGUGCUUCUUUCAAGUCUCAGGUUUAACUCUUACUAGGCGCUAUCAACUCCUUAGGGCCACGCCCGCAGGCUCUGCCCUAGAUUUGGCGGAUCCACGUGGAGGGGAUACUUUGCGUGGGUCUCGGGAUUAGUCGAGGUGCGCGUAAACUAAUUUGGACACUCAGUCAUAAAAAUAUAUAUAUAUAGAGUUUGUAAACUGCACUUUUAAAAUUAUUCUUCUAAGAAUUCUGGACAGCCCAUUGCAACUCACUCCUUCAUUGUUGGUCUUCAACGAUUCCUGUCCACAGACGAAGGGAAAAUCAUUCCUGUUCAUAAUGGCUUCCUGAAAAGAAGCAGAAUAUUGGCACUCAAAACAAGUUCUGCUGAGAUUUGUCUUCUUGGUUGCAAAAUAGACAAGUUGUAUCAAUCCCCAUGUGCAAUUCCUUAAAUCAAUUCUUUGUGGCCAGUCUUUCAUGGCGCAGCAACCAUAAAAUAAAGGCACACUUCAAAAUAUUCUGUGGGACAUGUUAAAGCAUUCUGUUUCUUCCUUAUUUACUCAUGGUCAUGGCUGGGGGCUGGGGUGUUACCCUAGUAGCUUGCAUAUUGUGUCUCUAAUUCGAUGUGUUAUCAUUCAAACUGGGAUGUAAUUUUCUAUUAUUUUUCCUUUGUUCUUUUAUAUUUCUUUUUAACAUUCUUUUUUCUUUGUGGUGGGUGGAGGGUUGAGCGUUUUGGGCUAUAUAUAUGCUAGGUGUUUCAAAUGGUGCUCUUCGUAGUCUGUAUCUACCCUCCAGCUAAGGAAUUACCGGUUAAUGGGUUUAGUCAUGGCUUUAGAAGCAGAAAAAGUUUUGACAUUUCGACAACAGUUGCAUUCUUUGAUAAAUGAAUCAUGAUGCCAUCAAAAGGUCUAAGAAUUUCAAUUUUCGAUAUACACUUCACUGGUAUUGCUAGCAUGGCAGAGGUGGAUUCAUCUGAUUCAGAACCUGCCUGAUCUUUUUGCGGGUAUUUCAGUAAUGAUCAUGGAGUAGGCCUGUAAUUUGUAGUGGAUAAUGCAUAUUUAGCUAUAUGGGCUUGAGAAUUAUUUUGUCAAUUAGGCUGGAUGGCAGAAAUUUUAUUUUCCUCUUCUUUCUUUUAUUCAAUUCCAUCUUGGAUUGUUUAAACUAUCAGAUUUAUUUUCCUCAUUUUGUUUUAAUGUUAUUCAAUUAUGAGGUAGAGAUAUUAAUAUUUGGGGCCAAGUUGCAUGUCUAUCUGGUUGAACUAAUGUGACAUGGCAGUGUGGUGUAGUUUAUCUGAGUUGUUUAUAGCUUAUUUUA